GGCCUACCAUGGUGGUAACGGGUAACGGGGUGUUAGGGCACGACACCGGAGAGGGAGCCUGAGAAACGGCUACCACAUCCAAGGAAGGCAGCAGGCGCGCAAAUUACCCAAUCCCGACACGGGGAGGUAGUGACAAUAAAUAACAAUACAGGGUUCUUUGAAUCUUGUAAUUGGAAUGAGUACAAUUUAAAUCUCUUAACGAGGAACAAUUGGAGGGCAAGUCUGGUGCCAGCAGCCGCGGUAAUUCCAGCUCCAAUAGCGUAUAUUAAAGUUGUUGCAGUUAAAAAGCUCGUAGUUGAAUUUCGGGAUCAAUACGUCGGUCGUGCUUUCGGGUACGUACUGGCGUCACUGGUUUCUCCUUUCUGACGAACCAUGAUGUCAUUAAUUUGGUGUUAUGGGGAGUUAGGACUGUUACUUUGAAAAAAUUAGAGUGUUUAAAGCAGGCAUUAGCUUGAAUACAUUAGCAUGGAAUAAUGAAAUAGGUCGUUCGAUCCUAUUUUGUUGGUUUCUAGGAUCAACGUAAUGAUUAAUAGGGAUAGUUGGGGGCAUUAGUAUUCAAUUGUCAGAGGUGAAAUUCUCGGAUUUAUUGAAGACUAACUACUGCGAAAGCAUUUGCCAAGGAUGUUUUCAUUAAUCAAGAACGAAAGUUAGGGGAUCGAAGACGAUCAGAUACCGUCGUAGUCUUAACCAUAAACUAUGCCGACUAGGGAUCGGAUGAUGUUAAUUUUUUAAUGACUCAUUCGGCGCCUUACG
Molecule: ribosomal RNA, 753 nt
Filed under: uncultured Glomeromycotina
Lineage: Eukaryota; Fungi; Glomeromycota
Description: SSU rRNA
Rfam family: Eukaryotic small subunit ribosomal RNA
Source: RNAcentral